GGGCGCGUAGCUCAGUUGGUUAGAGCGCGACUCUUAUAAGGUCGAUGUCCUUGGUUCAAGUCCAAGCGCGCCCA
This 74-nucleotide transfer RNA is filed under the name Candidatus Curtissbacteria bacterium. Its description in RNAcentral is "tRNA-Ile". It matches the Rfam family "tRNA". Rfam says of the family: Transfer RNA (tRNA) molecules are approximately 80 nucleotides in length. The record is from RNAcentral. Lineage: Bacteria; Candidatus Curtissiibacteriota.